Molecule: ribosomal RNA, 1343 nt
Filed under: uncultured bacterium
Lineage: Bacteria
Description: 16S ribosomal RNA
Rfam family: Bacterial small subunit ribosomal RNA
Source: RNAcentral
GACGAACGCUGGCGGCGUGCUUAACACAUGCAAGUCGAACGGAAAGGCCCUGCUUUUGUGGGGUGCUCGAGUGGCGAACGGGUGAGUAACACGUGAGUAACCUGCCCUUGACUUUGGGAUAACUUCAGGAAACUGGGGCUAAUACCGGAUAGGAGCUCCUGCUGCAUGGUGGGGGUUGGAAAGUUUCGGCGGUUGGGGAUGGACUCGCGGCUUAUCAGCUUGUUGGUGGGGUAGUGGCUUACCAAGGCUUUGACGGGUAGCCGGCCUGAGAGGGUGACCGGCCACAUUGGGACUGAGAUACGGCCCAGACUCCUACGGGAGGCAGCAGUGGGGAAUAUUGCACAAUGGGCGGAAGCCUGAUGCAGCAACGCCGCGUGCGGGAUGACGGCCUUCGGGUUGUAAACCGCUUUCGCCUGUGACGAAGCGUGAGUGACGGUAAUGGGUAAAGAAGCACCGGCUAACUACGUGCCAGCAGCCGCGGUGAUACGUAGGGUGCGAGCGUUGUCCGGAUUUAUUGGGCGUAAAGGGCUCGUAGGUGGUUGAUCGCGUCGGAAGUGUAAUCUUGGGGCUUAACCCUGAGCGUGCUUUCGAUACGGGUUGACUUGAGGAAGGUAGGGGAGAAUGGAAUUCCUGGUGGAGCGGUGGAAUGCGCAGAUAUCAGGAGGAACACCAGUGGCGAAGGCGGUUCUCUGGGCCUUUCCUGACGCUGAGGAGCGAAAGCGUGGGGAGCGAACAGGCUUAGAUACCCUGGUAGUCCACGCUGUAAACGGUGGGUACUAGGUGUGGGGUCCGUUCCACGGGUUCCGUGCCGUAGCUAACGCUUUAAGUACCCCGCCUGGGGAGUACGGCCGCAAGGCUAAAACUCAAAGGAAUUGACGGGGCCCCGCACAAGCGGCGGAGCAUGCGGAUUAAUUCGAUGCAACGCGUAGAACCUUACCUGGGUUUGACAUGGAUCGGGAGUGCUCAGAGAUGGGUGUGCCUCUUUUGGGGUCGGUUCACAGGUGGUGCAUGCCUGUCGUCAGCUCGUGUCGUGAGAUGUUGGGUUAAGUCCCGCAACGAGCGCAACCCUUGUUCACUGUUGCCAGCACGUUAUGGUGGGGACUCAGUGGAGACCGCCGGGGUCAACUCGGAGGAAGGUGGGGAUGACGUCAAGUCCUCAUGCCCCUUAUGUCCAGGGCUUCACGCAUGCUACAAUGGCUGGUACAGAGAGUGGCGAGCCUGUGAGGGUGAGCGAAUCUCGGAAAGCCGGUCUCAGUUCGGAUUGGGGUCUGCAACUCGACCUCAUGAAGUCGGAGUCGCUAGUAAUCGCAGAUCAGCAACGCUGCGGUGAAUACGUUCCCGGG